AGAGUUUGAUCAUGGCUCAGAUUGAACGCUGGCGGCAGGCCUAACACAUGCAAGUCGAACGGUAACAGGAAGCAGCUUGCUGCUUUGCUGACGAGUGGCGGACGGGUGAGUAAUGUCUGGGAAACUGCCCGAUGGAGGGGGAUAACUACUGGAAACGGUAGCUAAUACCGCAUAACGUCGCAAGACCAAAGAGGGGGACCUUCCUUCGGGCCUCUUGCCAUCGGAUGUGCCCAGAUGGGAUUAGCUAGUAGGUGGGGUAACGGCUCACCUAGGCGACGAUCCCUAGCUGGUCUGAGAGGAUGACCAGCCACACUGGAACUGAGACACGGUCCAGACUCCUACGGGAGGCAGCAGUGGGGAAUAUUGCACAAUGGGCGCAAGCCUGAUGCAGCCAUGCCGCGUGUAUGAAGAAGGCCUUCGGGUUGUAAAGUACUUUCAGCGGGGAGGAAGGGAGUAAAGUUAAUACCUUUGCUCAUUGACGUUACCCGCAGAAGAAGCACCGGCUAACUCCGUGCCAGCAGCCGCGGUAAUACGGAGGGUGCAAGCGUUAAUCGGAAUUACUGGGCGUAAAGCGCACGCAGGCGGUUUGUUAAGUCAGAUGUGAAAUCCCCGGGCUCAACCUGGGAACUGCAUCUGAUACUGGCAAGCUUGAGUCUCGUAGAGGGGGGUAGAAUUCCAGGUGUAGCGGUGAAAUGCGUAGAGAUCUGGAGGAAUACCGGUGGCGAAGGCGGCCCCCUGGACGAAGACUGACGCUCAGGUGCGAAAGCGUGGGGAGCAAACAGGAUUAGAUACCCUGGUAGUCCACGCCGUAAACGAUGUCGACUUGGAGGUUACGAUGUCGACUUGGAGGUUGUGCCCUUGAGGGCGUGGCUUCUGGAGGUUGUGCCCUUAGGCGUGGCUUCCGGAGCUAACGCGUUAAGUCUAACGCGUUAAGUCGACCGCCUGGGGAGUACGGCCGCAAGGUUAAAACUCAAAUGAAUUGACGGGGGCCCGCACAAGCGGUGGAGCAUGUGGUUUAAUUCGAUGCAACGCGAAGAACCUUACCUGGUCUUGACAUCCACGGAAGUUUUCAGAGAUGAGAAUGUGCCUUCGGGAACCGUGAGACAGGUGCUGCAUGGCUGUCGUCAGCUCGUGUUGUGAAAUGUUGGGUUAAGUCCCGCAACGAGCGCAACCCUUAUCCUUUGUUGCCAGCGGUCCGGCCGGGAACUCAAAGGAGACUGCCAGUGAUAAACUGGAGGAAGGUGGGGAUGACGUCAAGUCAUCAUGGCCCUUACGACCAGGGCUACACACGUGCUACAAUGGCGCAUACAAAGAGAAGCGACCUCGCGAGAGCAAGCGGACCUCAUAAAGUGCGUCGUAGUCCGGAUUGGAGUCUGCAACUCGACUCCAUGAAGUCGGAAUCGCUAGUAAUCGUGGAUCAGAAUGCCACGGUGAAUACGUUCCCGGGCCUUGUACACACCGCCCGUCACACCAUGGGAGUGGGUUGCAAAAGAAGUAGGUAGCUUAACCUUCGGGAGGGCGCUUACCACUUUGUGAUUCAUGACUGGGGUGAAGUCGUAACAAGGUAACCGUAGGGGAACCUGCGGUUG
RNAcentral lists this ribosomal RNA (1589 nucleotides) under Escherichia coli TOP293-3. RNAcentral describes it as "bacterial SSU rRNA". It matches the Rfam family "Bacterial small subunit ribosomal RNA". The record is from RNAcentral. Lineage: Bacteria; Pseudomonadati; Pseudomonadota; Gammaproteobacteria; Enterobacterales; Enterobacteriaceae.